RNAcentral lists this ribosomal RNA (253 nucleotides) under uncultured bacterium. RNAcentral's name for it is "partial 16S ribosomal RNA". It matches the Rfam family "Bacterial small subunit ribosomal RNA", at positions 524 to 776 of the family's 1533-position model. The record is from RNAcentral.
CACGUAGGGGGCAAGCGUUGUCCGGAUUUAUUGGGCGUAAAGAGCUCGUAGGUGGCUGAGUAAGUCGGAUGUUAAAUCCCCAGGCUCAACCUGGGACACCACCCGAUACUGCUCUGGCUAGAGUCCGGUAGGGGAGCGUGGAAUUCCUGGUGUAGCGGUGAAGUGCGCAGAUAUCAGGAGGAACACCAGCGGCGAAGGCGGCGCUCUGGGCCGGAACUGACACUGAGGAGCGAAAGCGUGGGUAGCAAACAGG